UAGGCAAGCUCAAAACAACCUCUAUUUCUCUACAAUGAAACCCUAGUGCUCUAAGAUCAUCUAACAGUAGUUUAAAAAAAUCUACCGCAUCGCAAAUCAAAGUCUCUUCGAGUACUUCACCUUCAAAGUCGGAAAAACGGCCCCCGUCCACACAGAUCAGCGAGUCAGCAGAAGACGCUUUCCGACCAAAAGUUGCCUUGGUCGAAAACACUACUAUCGGGUAUGUUCAUGAACUAUCCAAACUCAGUAGAAAUCGUGGAAAUACAAUGGAUUAUUGUUCGCUUCAACUCCAAACGGCUAAAAAGAACGUGGACGCACUGCUUUAUAGCCCUCACAAAUGACCUCUUCUUCACGAAAGUCAAGAGGAAAGAUCUCCAGUGAAACUCACCUACCACCUCAUUCACCUAUACACCAGCUAAGGACAAAAUUAUAGUGAAAGACAUGACCGCGAUAACCACUUAACAGGAUGAAUAUUCCUUUCAGUAUCAAACCCCAACGGAAGUAGAACCGCCAGUUUACAAAGUAUUAGAUGUUCUCAAUACUUCCAAAGAAUGGGAUGUCGUCACAGUUAAAGGCAAAUCUUUGCUUUCAAAGACCAGCGUAUGGUUGGAAGUCCUCGUAAAAGACUUAAACUUCUUGAAGCAGUAUUGGACGACGGAUCAGGGAGGAUUUCAAUAGACAUUUGGGAGUCUCACAUCAAUAAUGUCAAAACUGGCCAUGUUUAUACAUUGUCUUAUGUUCACAUCAGAGUCUGGAGUGAAAGAAAAAAACUAGCCACCACUAUGCAUACCACUAUCCAACUACUAGACGAUCAAGCCUUGCGAGAACUACUUACAGAUGAUAAUGAUGUCCUGUAAGAACAAACCCACAAGAUAACUGAGGUUACCUCCAACUAGAACAUUUCCAAAUAUUUAUAAUGUGUCCAUUUCAACAAAAGCAUCAUUCAGGCAACAUUCACAGAUAUAAUAAUCUGUGAACACUGUGGUUUUAUGAUGAAGAAAGAGGUCCUGCCAAACGAAA
Long non-coding RNA from Nematostella vectensis (starlet sea anemone), 1020 nucleotides. RefSeq lists it as uncharacterized. Lineage: Eukaryota; Metazoa; Cnidaria; Anthozoa; Actiniaria; Edwardsiidae. The transcript has 2 exons. The record is from RefSeq and is a predicted model, not a curated record.